RNAcentral lists this ribosomal RNA (594 nucleotides) under Escherichia coli. RNAcentral's name for it is "partial 23S ribosomal RNA". It matches the Rfam family "Bacterial large subunit ribosomal RNA", at positions 644 to 1239 of the family's 2925-position model. Lineage: Bacteria; Pseudomonadati; Pseudomonadota; Gammaproteobacteria; Enterobacterales; Enterobacteriaceae. The record is from RNAcentral.
GGUUAACCGAAUAGGGGAGCCGAAGGGAAACCGAGUCUUAACUGGGCGUUAAGUUGCAGGGUAUAGACCCGAAACCCGGUGAUCUAGCCAUGGGCAGGUUGAAGGUUGGGUAACACUAACUGGAGGACCGAACCGACUAAUGUUGAAAAAUUAGCGGAUGACUUGUGGCUGGGGGUGAAAGGCCAAUCAAACCGGGAGAUAGCUGGUUCUCCCCGAAAGCUAUUUAGGUAGCGCCUCGUGAAUUCAUCUCCGGGGGUAGAGCACUGUUUCGGCAAGGGGGUCAUCCCGACUUACCAACCCGAUGCAAACUGCGAAUACCGGAGAAUGUUAUCACGGGAGACACACGGCGGGUGCUAACGUCCGUCGUGAAGAGGGAAACAACCCAGACCGCCAGCUAAGGUCCCAAAGUCAUGGUUAAGUGGGAAACGAUGUGGGAAGGCCCAGACAGCCAGGAUGUUGGCUUAGAAGCAGCCAUCAUUUAAAGAAAGCGUAAUAGCUCACUGGUCGAGUCGGCCUGCGCGGAAGAUGUAACGGGGCUAAACCAUGCACCGAAGCUGCGGCAGCGACACUGUGUGUUGUUGGGUAGGGGAGCGU